This is a long non-coding RNA of Limulus polyphemus (Atlantic horseshoe crab), 366 nucleotides long. RefSeq lists it as uncharacterized. The record is from RefSeq and is a predicted model, not a curated record. NCBI's taxonomy places the organism in Eukaryota, Metazoa, Arthropoda, Merostomata, Xiphosura, Limulidae. The transcript is spliced from 3 exons.
CGAGGCUGGAAACCAAAGAACCUCCGCUACGAACCGGACUGGACGUCUGUUUCACUUCUGGCAGCUGUCGAACAAUCCACUUCUUGAACGUGACUGUUUUGGACGUGCACGGAUAAACAUGUAGGACUUCUGGACUAAACAGCUGUCAGCGAGAAGCCGAGUCAACGAAAAAUUAGAGAGAAGGCACCUAGUCGACAACCUCAGCUGCCAAAUCUUAGACUGCGCUCAUCUGACCGAAUAACGGGAGUUGACAGUCACGUCCCCAAAGCGAGGAAAGAGUUUUGAGACAACUUAACGCGAACCAUGAAUCCUUAGAUUCCCAGUCCUGGCACGCCAACCACUACGCUACUUCCAGCCACAAAAUAA